This 492-nucleotide ribosomal RNA is filed under the name Diatrypaceae sp. MU-133. RNAcentral describes it as "eukaryotic LSU rRNA". It matches the Rfam family "Eukaryotic large subunit ribosomal RNA", at positions 96 to 598 of the family's 3401-position model. Lineage: Eukaryota; Fungi; Ascomycota; Sordariomycetes; Xylariales; Diatrypaceae. The record is from RNAcentral.
AGCGCGCGACAUCUUAUAUUUGAAAUCUAGACCUCGGGUCCGAGUUGUAAUUUGUAGAGGAUGCUUUUGGUGCAGUGCCUUCUGAGUUCCUUGGAACAGGAUAUCUCCCCGGUGAGAGCCCCGUACGGUUGGACACUAACCCUCUGUAAAGCUCCUUCGACGAGUCGAGUAGUUUGGGAAUGCUGCUCUAAAUGGGAGGUAAAUUUCUUCUAAAGCUAAAUACCGGCCAGAGACCGAUAGCGCACAAGUAGAGUGAUCGAAAGAUGAAAAGUACUUUGAAAAGAGGGUUAAAUAGCACGUGAAAUUGUUGAAAGGGAAGCGUUUAUGACCAGACCUUUGCCAGGCGGAUCAUCCGGUGUUCUUCACCGGUGCACUUCGCCUGGCUCAGGCCAGCAUCGAUUUUCGUAGGGGGAUAAAGGCCCUGGGAACGUAGCUCUCUUCGGGGAGUGUUAUAGCCCUGGGGUGUAAUACCCUUAUGGGGAUCGAGCGUUC